RNAcentral lists this non-coding RNA (202 nucleotides) under Sphingobacterium spiritivorum. The record is from RNAcentral. Lineage: Bacteria; Pseudomonadati; Bacteroidota; Sphingobacteriia; Sphingobacteriales; Sphingobacteriaceae. RNAcentral also lists the same sequence under 1 other name.
UCAGAUUGAGCGUUUAAUGGUUUCCCUUAACGGGAAUUAAUAAGGAACCAUGUGCAAAUCAUGGGCUGUCGCGCAACUGUAAGCAUUCUCCCUCUUGGGAUAGGUUUUACAUACCACAGUCACUGUUCAGGAAAAUCCAGAAUGGGAAGACGUAAAACGGACGAAUGCAAGCCAGGAGACUUGCCAUUGAAUUUUCAACAGG